Molecule: long non-coding RNA, 809 nt
Filed under: Androctonus crassicauda
Lineage: Eukaryota; Metazoa; Arthropoda; Arachnida; Scorpiones; Buthidae
Source: RNAcentral
GGAUUUUUUGUUUGAAAUAGACUGCAGAUAGUGCUGAUUUUUGGUGAAAUUAUUGAAAAAAGAGGAAUUACAGUUUAAUAGUAAAGAAAUAUGGAAGGGCUGAGCCAGCAGUUACGUAAUGAGCAGAAUAACUUUAUGAAGCUAGCCAUGAAGACUGUUAGAGCAGAGAAAACUUGGUUAUUUCUAAAGGAAUGUGGAAUUAAUAAAGUUUUACCGACCUCAAUUUAUAAGAUUAGAUUGCCAGUAGGAUCAAAAAGACUGCUAAAGAGAACCAAAGAAUUGUGCUUGAAAGUGGCAACAUCAGAUGCUAAAAGAAUCUUUUAUAAGUGAAAAAAGCAGCUAGAGGAAAAUAGGAGUAAAUGGGAACAGAAGAGCAUUGAAAAUUUCAUGAGCAUAGUAGAGGCUAGGAUACGAAAGCUUAGGGCGAAGCUUAGACGAUGAACAUUUUGAAUGUCUUUUCUCAGAUAUAUGUUGGAAGACAAUAUUGGAACUUUCUCUUGCAACAUUGUAAUAAUCAUAAAUUGUCACCAUGUUAUUAGCUAUUAAGCCUAACCAAUUUUUGCUUUAAUAGUGUUACCUAUUUCUUAUAAUUGUUAUUAUGUAUUGAUGUUAUUCUUAUGUUAAAAUAAAUGUUUUGUUGGACCUCAGCACCACUAAUCCACAUGCCAUAUUUUUACUUCAGUUCAGUCAAUAUAGUCUGAAAAUAUUUCAGUUGGAGAAACACACAAAACUUCUAGAAGCAGACUGAAGUUGGCAAAUUUGAACAUCCCAUGAUCCUCAGAAAAAUAACAUGUUACUUAUUCAUAAAC